RNAcentral lists this ribosomal RNA (1372 nucleotides) under uncultured bacterium. Its description in RNAcentral is "bacterial SSU rRNA". It matches the Rfam family "Bacterial small subunit ribosomal RNA", at positions 28 to 1381 of the family's 1533-position model. The record is from RNAcentral.
GAUGAACGCUGGCGGCGUGCCUAAUACAUGCAAGUCGAGCGAACGGACGAGAAGCUUGCUUCUCUGAUGUUAGCGGCGGACGGGUGAGUAACACGUGGAUAACCUACCUAUAAGACUGGGAUAACUUCGGGAAAUCGGAGCUAAUACCGGAUAAUAUUUUGAACCGCAUGGUUCAAAAGUAAAAGACGGUCUUGCUGUCACUUAUAGAUGGAUCCGCGCUGCAUUAGCUAGUUGGUAAGGUAACGGCUUACCAAGGCAACGAUGCAUAGCCGACCUGAGAGGGUGAUCGGCCACACUGGAACUGAGACACGGUCCAGACUCCUACGGGAGGCAGCAGUAGGGAAUCUUCCGCAAUGGGCGAAAGCCUGACGGAGCAACGCCGCGUGAGUGAUGAAGGUCUUCGGAUCGUAAAACUCUGUUAUUAGGGAAGAACAUAUGUGUAAGUAACUGUGCACAUCUUGACGGUACCUAAUCAGAAAGCCACGGCUAACUACGUGCCAGCAGCCGCGGUAAUACGUAGGUGGCAAGCGUUAUCCGGAAUUAUUGGGCGUAAAGCGCGCGUAGGCGGUUUUUUAAGUCUGAUGUGAAAGCCCACGGCUCAACCGUGGAGGGUCAUUGGAAACUGGAAAACUUGAGUGCAGAAGAGGAAAGUGGAAUUCCAUGUGUAGCGGUGAAAUGCGCAGAGAUAUGGAGGAACACCAGUGGCGAAGGCGACUUUCUGGUCUGUAACUGACGCUGAUGUGCGAAAGCGUGGGGAUCAAACAGGAUUAGAUACCCUGGUAGUCCACGCCGUAAACGAUGAGUGCUAAGUGUUAGGGGGUUUCCGCCCCUUAGUGCUGCAGCUAACGCAUUAAGCACUCCGCCUGGGGAGUACGACCGCAAGGUUGAAACUCAAAGGAAUUGACGGGGACCCGCACAAGCGGUGGAGCAUGUGGUUUAAUUCGAAGCAACGCGAAGAACCUUACCAAAUCUUGACAUCCUUUGACAACUCUAGAGAUAGAGCCUUCCCCUUCGGGGGACAAAGUGACAGGUGGUGCAUGGUUGUCGUCAGCUCGUGUCGUGAGAUGUUGGGUUAAGUCCCGCAACGAGCGCAACCCUUAAGCUUAGUUGCCAUCAUUAAGUUGGGCACUCUAAGUUGACUGCCGGUGACAAACCGGAGGAAGGUGGGGAUGACGUCAAAUCAUCAUGCCCCUUAUGAUUUGGGCUACACACGUGCUACAAUGGACAAUACAAAGGGCAGCGAAACCGCGAGGUCAAGCAAAUCCCAUAAAGUUGUUCUCAGUUCGGAUUGUAGUCUGCAACUCGACUACAUGAAGCUGGAAUCGCUAGUAAUCGUAGAUCAGCAUGCUACGGUGAAUACGUUCCCGGGUCU